ACUAAUUGAACCAAAAUCAAAGAGUUUUUUUCAUUGCAGGUCACAUUCUGUGUUUUUAUUACACUGCAGGUCACAAUGUGCUACUGAGGUACUUUCUAAUGGUUGAAGACAUGUUUGUCCUCUAAAAAGCUAAACUAAAGAUGGGUAUCUAGAGAUUUUCCAUUGGAGAGAGCAACGAAUGAUUCCGGCAGUUGACGUUUUAACGGCAGAGGCUGACGGAGAAGAAGAUGUCACCGCAAAAGAAGUGAGGUGUUAUCGGAGCACUGGUACACGACCAUCUCCGCCGCAAGCGCCACCUCCGACCAACCAGCCGUUGUCUCCUUCACAAGCGGGCAUUUUUCAAUCGCGACAGACGACGGUGAGCUGAUAUCCUCUCUGUCCGUUUCCGAGCUCCUCCUCUGCGACCAGUCUGCAAUUCAUCAUCACCAGCUGGUCAGUCUUUGCGCCCUCACGUCUCGUUUUCCUCCGCGUCUUCAAGCCGUGGUUCGUCAGGCUCCGUCGUGCCUUCUUCUGCGACCUCUCCUCCUCUGCAAGCGUCGGCGAAUCAAAUCGGAGCUCGAUCCGAUCUAUCGCAUCGAAGGGAUACAUUCCCAAACCAAGUGUUUUAUAUUUACACAACUGGUCCCUUAGCUUUCGACAGUUAACAAUUUAGACCUAAAACUUCCAGAUUUGCACAGUUGCUUUUCAAUUUGGUCCCAUAAUUUAAUCUCUACUUUAUGCCGCUUAGUAUGCAAAUGCAA
Long non-coding RNA from Raphanus sativus (radish), 740 nucleotides. RefSeq lists it as uncharacterized. The transcript has 2 exons. Lineage: Eukaryota; Viridiplantae; Streptophyta; Magnoliopsida; Brassicales; Brassicaceae. The record is from RefSeq and is a predicted model, not a curated record.